RNAcentral lists this small RNA (96 nucleotides) under Mytilus galloprovincialis (Mediterranean mussel). The record is from RNAcentral. Lineage: Eukaryota; Metazoa; Mollusca; Bivalvia; Mytilida; Mytilidae.
GAUAAAAUAAACGAAUAUCACGGCCCAGGCCAUGUGUAAAUUCACAACAAAUCUAUGGAUUCCACAUGGCCUGGGCCGUGAUAUUCGAAUUUUAUC